CCCCCGUUUCGUCCCCCCUCAAAACCUCUAGUUUAACGCCGCCCCUCCGCUUGAAACUGCCGUCGGAAAUCGCCUCACGGCGGCGACCGGCGUCCAAUCGCCCCCAAAUUCAUGCCAUCCCCUCUCCUCGUUCUCUUAUUCCCAAAUUCACCCUCCGUUUACUUCAAAACCCAACCAAACGCCCCAAAUUUGUGAAACCCUAACCCCAUCUCCAUCGCACACGGCAGCGCCGACAUCUAAACAACUCCCAAAUAACACCACAUCACACCUAACCUUCCUUAUUCCUAAUAUCCAAGUGGAUUUCUUCAAACGUCACCAGAACGACUCGAAUCUUAAAUCAUAGAGUCGACGGAACCCUAGAAGGUCAUUUUUGCCCGAUCCUUGUUCAUUUUUUUUGAGUCUGGUCCUGUAUAGGUGAGUUUGUCUUUUCUUCCUUCUCUCAUUCAUUGGCUUCUGAUUAAAAUCCAUGCUUUGUUAUUUUCCUACUAUGGCAGAAAUUAAUAGUCAGGGUUUUUGUAUUUCUUAUCAUUUUAAAUGUCUGAUAGUUUUUUCUUCCUUCUUUGAUUCGUGAUUAAUGUUGGGUUUAGGAUAAAAACUAGAUUCAUUUGGUUAACCAUGAAUUUGUUUGAGUGUUGUUGUUUGUUUUCACUUUAUUCUUAGUUAUUCUAGCCUUAGAAUGUUAGCAUUAAUUAGAGUUAAAUGUCAAUUAUUAGAUUAGUUAGAUUAAUUUUUGUUUGGUGGUUAGAUCAAUUUACAGUCUUGCUUUACUUGGCUAUGCACUGAUUUUAGAAUUAAUCUCUUCAGUAGUUCAACUCAGAACUUUUGAAAUUGUUUCCUUAUAGCUGUAGUUUAGGAGCAAGUUCAGGGAUAGUUUAGACAUUUGGAAUUGAGUAGAACUUGGCCGUUAAUAUUAGAGUCUUCUAGGACCUUCUAGACUAGGGCUUUAGUGGUAAUUGCAAGAAACGUAAUGCACUAGCUUGAGUAACAAGUUAAUAAGUGAGGGACUAAUAAAUAAAACAGAAAAUUGGAGGGUUGCCCCUCAUUUGGCCUAUAAAAUGGCAUUCAUAUGCCUUCACUAACAAGUUUUUGGAGCCCCAAUGUUCCCCCCCAAAAAAUCUCCUUAAGCUCUAGAGAUCUGAAAUUCAAAUUCAGAUUACAAAAUCCUCUUAGAUCUUAAGCUUUCUUCAUAUAGAAAACCAAAAAAACAAUAUAAAUUUCCAAAAAACCAAAAAAUAUAUUUACCGUUCCAUUAAACUUUUACGUGAAUUUCAGCUUUUUAGUUGCUAGUUUGCAUUUUUCUAUGUUCAAGUUCUGAUUUCUGAAGUUUCUGGAGUUUACUGAUUUGUUUUCGCGUGGGUUUGGGUUCGUUUGAGUUGUUUUUGAGUAGAUCUGAUCAUUCUGUGUGAUUUUCAAGCACCUUUGGGUUUCUGAAUCUUUGCUGGACUGUUUUACACUUCAUUGAUUGCUGCUGGGGAUUUAAACUGAUUUCUGAGUUGCUGCCGGGGUUAUUAUUACUGCUAACCUCUCUAUUUCUUAUUUCACUUCAGAUUUCAGGUACACAUUUGAAUGCUCAUUGAUGUCGUUUUGAAUCGGAGUGAAAUGAAAUCAGCUUCCAAAUGUUUGCUCACGUAGUUAGUGUAAUUGUUUAGUCUUAACCUGUUUGAAUUGUACUGAAGUAGGAAUUAUUUAAUUAGGAUCAUUUUUCUAUUAAUAUGAAAUGUUUGGAUUUGAAUUAGAAUUGUUAUGAACUAUGUUGACUGGGACCUUUAACUUGUGAAUUUUUUAGCUGAUAGUUGUUUUCUAAUUUGAUUUAGCUCAUAUUAGUAAAGUAGUGAAGCUUGAAUUCAAAUUAAACUGGUUGGACGAUGGACAGUUUAACCUGCAGAUUGGUGAAGUGUAUUGUGAUUCUGUUUAUGUUAAGAUUUGUUAAAAUUAGAAAAGAUAAUUCGAAACAGAAAUGAGUUGAUGAUCAGGAUAUGGACCUGUUUAAGUUCAGUAGGAUAACGUUUUAUAGCAGAUUUGAAGUAAAGUACGAAUAUACUUCCAUUUCUAACCGAGAGGUUGUGAGUUCGAGUUUUCCCAAGAGCAAAGUGGGAAGUUCUUGGAGGGAAGGAUGCCAACCUCUCUACCUCAGGGUAGGGGUAAGGUCUGCGUACAUAUUAUCCUUUCUAUACCCCACUCAAUGAAAUUGUACUGAAUUGUUAUUAUUGUUGUUUGAAGUAAAGUACGAAUAUCGGAUUACAGAGAAAGUCAGUCGGUUUUACUGUAGAAUUAAUUGGGCUACACAAAUUCAUGUAUGAGUGGAUGUGGUGUCUUCAUCCAGGCUCGACGCCUGGGCCGCGUCCUCCAGCUGUAAUUGAAUAUGAACGAUGUCACAUGGGCUAGAUUUCUCCAAUAGUUGGCCUAAAGUUAUUUUCUUCAUGGGCUACUAAGCAUGAAUAGUUCGAAAGUGAAUAGUAAGGAUUUGGCCUUUUAUCAAUGUUAAUUAAUUAGGAGUUUUCCCUUUAUUCUUAGAGACGCAUUAAGUUAAAAAUUAUAGAUCUCUUUAGAAUUGAUUUUUAAAAUAAAAAUGAGACAAUCCUUGUCCAACAAAAUAUAUAAAUUGCGGGGCCCUCAAUAAGUGUUUGAGUUAGAAUACUUAGAUUCGGGAUAGGUCGUUAGCAAAUUUUACGGUCUUCCUCAAAGAUAAUAACGCGCUAGUCACUUUAGGUGCUCUUUUUAAUAAUUUACCUUCCUAAAGUCGGUGCGAAUUUAUGUGACUCAAAUUCAAAUCUCAACGAAGUCGAAAUGUAUCAACAAUCACGGGUCCAUUGAUGUAACGUGGUUCGAGACGCGUUUUCACGAUAUUUCAAUUCUUAUUAAAAAUAAUAAAAAAACGGUUCAAGUUAAAAAGCACAUAAGCUAAAACAUAUUUUGAAAUCAGAUAAAUCCAAAUAUGACAGUUGAGAGACCGUGCUAGAGCCACGAAAUAUGGGAACGCUUCACUCCUUCUUCCGGAUUAACAGAAUUCCUUACUCGGAUUUCUGGUCGCGGGCUGUUAACAGAGUCAUAUUUUUCCUCGGUUUGGAAUUCAACCGGUGAGUUGGGACACCAUUAAUCUUCCAAGUGGUGACUUUGAAUUUUAAUAAUAAAUCACAUUCCGAUUAUCCUUUAAUUGGAAAAAUUUCUUUACGUCCUUGCGGGUGUAGGAAAAAGGAAGUGUGACAGUGGUUAUGGCACUAGUAGUAGACCACAUGUAGCUCCGAUUACUAAUCGUAGAAAAAGAAGUAAGGUUUGGAAUUAUUUGUAAAUAAUAGAAGGUACUGAUAGAGUUAAAUGCAAACUUUGUAAAGGUGAUUUUAAACAUUUGACUGGAAGAAAUUUAGGGGGGACUGAGACGCUUAGUGAAUAUAUGAGAACUAAGCAUCCCAUAGAAUGAGGCACUGAUGGUGAUGAAAACCAAACAACUCUUAACCCUACUACUGGAGGUCGUGUGAAAUAUGAUAAAAUGAAGGAUCGUGAGGAGUUAGUAAAAAUGAUUGCUUUGGGUUGUCUAUGGACCUAUUCAUCUCCUACAUGAGAAAGAUAUGUAUCAUCAUAAACUUUAUUAUUUUUCUUCAUUUCUUUGUCUUUUGUUCUUGUCUUCUAAUUUUCUAAAAAUAGACAAAGAGUUUCUUACAGAUUAUCGAAAGAUUACCUUUUUCUUCAGCUUCUUCAUCAUAUCUUAUUAUGUAUAUUCAAAGAAUUUACAUUCCUUUAUUUAAAGGUAUCCUUAGAAGUACUUGCCGAGCUGAUAUCUUUAGACAUCAUGGACAAUAUCAAACAUCCAUACGUUAUUUGUUUAGCCACAUUUCUUAUAGAGUUUCUCUAACUUCUGAUAUUGGCCAUGCUGUUAAUGAAAAUGAUUAUUUGGCAAUUACAUGUCAUUGGAUGAUACUACUUGUAUUCAAAAACGUAUUAUCGCUUUUAGAUAUGAUGAAGAUCAGAGUCAUACUGCUGCGUAUAUAAGUAGUACUAUUUGUGAAGUUGUUGAAUUUUAUAAUCUCAAGAAAAAGUAUUAUGUAUGUCUUUUGAUAAUGCUUCUAACAUUACUGCCGCAAUUUCGAUAUUACAACUGCAUUUGCAACCACCUCUUGAUGAAUUUUUUUAUGUUAGGUGUGCAUGUCAUGUUUAUAAUUUAAUUAUUAAAAGUGGUCUUGAUUUAUUUUCAAUUGAGAUUACAUAUGUUAGAAGAGAAGUUGGUGUUAUUCAAGGAAAUAAUAGACAAUCUAGAAUAAAGGAAUAGUGCGUCCAGUAUAAUCUUAAACCUAGAUUCAUGCCAUAUGGAAUUGUUACUAGAUGGAAUUAUACAUAUAUAUUUUUAAAAUAUUGCUACAAAUAUAGAUUCCCNNNNNNNNNNNNNNNNNNNNNNNNNNNNNNNNNNNNNNNNNNNNNNNNNNNNNNNNNAAAUAUUGCUACAAAUAUAGAUUCCCAAUAACUGAAGUUGCUAAUGCGCAUUGUACUGAUCCAAACCGUAUGUUAACAACUACUACUUGGGAGGUCAUUAUUAAUGUUGUUAAAUUUUUAUAUAAAUUUUAUACAGCUACUGUUGAGUUUUUUUGGAGAAUAUUACCCUACUGUUACCAUGAUUUUAGUACAUAUAGCUGAAAUUUCUUUUCUACUCUUUGAAUUUAAGAAGAAAGAAAAAUAAAAGGAUGUUGUGGAAAAAAUGCAAGAAAAAUUCAAAAAAUAUUUCUUUCCAAUUCCUCCGAUUUACUUAAUUGAUACUAUUUAAAUCCUUCUAUUAAGAUGUCUGAUUGUCACCAAUUACUGAAUGCUUUAUAUUCUUAUAUGGAGAUUGGACCAACUGAAAUUCCAGAUUUAUACACUUGUAUGAACAAGCUAAAUGAAUAAUUACAAUAAUUAUAUAAUUAUUAUGAAAAUGUAAUUGAUGAUGCUGCUCAUACUAUAGGCAUUGUUAAUCCCACUAUGCACUGUACCUCUUCUGCUAUUGUGGAUGAUGAAGAAGGCCUUGAUAGUUUUAAUAUUUUUUGUAUAUUUUCUAAUACUCAAACCAGUAGCAGGAACAUUGAUGAACUUCAAUUCUACUUGCAGAAGCAAAAAGAGUCCCGCACAAAGGAAUUUUCACCGUUAGGAUGGUGGCAUGUGAGUUGCCUGGGCAGAUCCAAAUAUUGAUAUUAUAGCACGUGAGUUGUCCGUGCUGAUCCAGACAUUGAUAAGUGAGAUUGAGUACUCUAAGAGUGUGAGUACAUGAGUUCAUCACUGCCCUGCAUUGCAUUAGACAUGCAUACUUGAUAUGUAGGCAUAGAGAAGUAUUUUUCCUCAAGCCAUCUAAUAAUGAAAUUUCUGAUCUAUUGUUAAUUUUUUAAAGAAAAAUCACAGAUUUCAGACUUACUCAUAUUUUCGAUGAUUUCGACAAAAGAUUUGAGUUUUAGUGUUAUACUUAAAAAGAAAAUGUCUAUUUUCUUUCAAUAAUUGUGAACGAGCUGAGUAUUUUAUUAUUGAGUUAUUACUUUUUCCGCUUUAAUUAUAUUGUUAUGAGAUGCUACCGGUUAUUACUGUGAACUCUGACUUUGAUACAAGCUCGUCACUGCAUUUAACCUAAGGUUAUGUUUCUUACUUAGUGAGUAUAUGAGGUCGGUUGUACUUAUACACCUUGUGUGCAAAUUUUGGAUGCUGAUGUUCCUGUGUAUGGCGGGAGCUAGCAUUGGAGAUGUACAUGCAUUCCGGUCAUAGCUUUCUCUUGAUCUUGAUAGCUUUAGAUUUCAAAAUCUAUUUAGGUAUUUUAAAUAGAUGAUGUAUUUUAUUUCACACCAACUUUGUAAAUUCUGAAUCUUAGAAGCUAAUGAUUU
RNAcentral lists this long non-coding RNA (5831 nucleotides) under Nicotiana benthamiana. RNAcentral's name for it is "long non-coding RNA (NBEN_LNC017952)". Lineage: Eukaryota; Viridiplantae; Streptophyta; Magnoliopsida; Solanales; Solanaceae. The record is from RNAcentral.